This 250-nucleotide ribosomal RNA is filed under the name uncultured bacterium. Its description in RNAcentral is "partial 16S ribosomal RNA". It matches the Rfam family "Bacterial small subunit ribosomal RNA", at positions 28 to 275 of the family's 1533-position model. The record is from RNAcentral.
GAUGAACGCUAGCGGCAGGCCUAAUACAUGCAAGCUGAACGGCAAGACGAGUAGCAAUACGAGUCCUAGAGUAGCGUAAGGGUGCGUAACACGUAUGCAAUCUGCCCGCAACAGGAGUAUAGCUCCCCGAAAGGGGAAUUAAUGCUCCAUAGGACCAUUUGAGGGCAUCUGAGGAUGGUUAAACCUGAGGGGGUUGCGGAUGAGCAUGCGCAUGAUUAGCUAGUUGGUGAGGUAACGGCUCACCAAGGCG